This 107-nucleotide ribosomal RNA is filed under the name Atoxoplasma sp. MS-2003. Its description in RNAcentral is "partial large subunit ribosomal RNA". Lineage: Eukaryota; Apicomplexa; Conoidasida; Eucoccidiorida; Eimeriidae. The record is from RNAcentral.
AAACUUUUGUGUCCCUUGGGUGCCCCUGGGUGUUUGUAGUCUGCGUGUCUAGUUUCUGUUAUAAGAGCUAGUCUCGUUUGUAUUGCCUUCUCCCAGUCGAUCCCUUG